UAACGAAUAUUGCGCAAUGGACGAAAGUCUGACGCAGCGACGCCGUGUGCAGGAUGAAGCUCCUCGGAGUGUAAACUGCUGUCAGGGACUAGAAAGGUAUGCUUGUCAUACUUGAUCAAUCCCAAAGGAAGCACCGGCUAACUUCGUGCCAGCAGCCGCGGUAAUACGAAGGGUGCAAGCGUUGUUCGGACUCACUGGGCUUAAAGCGCACGUAGGCGGAAACGACAGUGUCUUGUGAAAUCCCCCGACUCAACCGGGGAACUACUCGGCAAACUUCGUUUCUUGAGACAAGUAGGGGUACAUGGAACUCUAGGUGGAGCGGUGAAAUGCGUAGAUAUCUAGAGGAACGCCAGCGGAGAAAUCGGUGUACUGGGCUUGUACUGACGCUGAGGUGCGAAAGCGUGGGUAGCGAACG
Molecule: ribosomal RNA, 415 nt
Filed under: uncultured prokaryote
Description: bacterial SSU rRNA
Rfam family: Bacterial small subunit ribosomal RNA
Source: RNAcentral